GACGAACGCUGGCGGCGUGCUUAACACAUGCAAGUCGAACGGAAAGGCCCUGCUUUUGUGGGGUGCUCGAGUGGCGAACGGGUGAGUAACACGUGAGUAACCUGCCCUUGACUUUGGGAUAACUUCAGGAAACUGGGGCUAAUACCGGAUCGGAUCUCCUGCUCCAUGGUGGGGGUUGGAAAGUUUCGGCGGGUGGGGAUGGACUCGCGGCUGAUCAGCUUGUUGGUGGGGUAGUGGCAGACCAAGGCUUUGACGGGUAGCCGGCCUGGGAGGGUGGCCGGCCACAUUGGGACUGAGAUACGGCCCAGAGUCCUACGGGAGGCAGCAGUGGGGAAUAUUGCACAGUGGGCGGAAGCCUGUUGCAGCAACGCUGCGUGCGGAAUGCCGGCCUUCGGGGUGUAAACCGCUUUCGCCUGUGACGAAGCGUGAGUGACGGUACUGGGUAAAGAAGCACCGGCUAACUACGUG
Molecule: ribosomal RNA, 468 nt
Filed under: uncultured bacterium
Lineage: Bacteria
Description: partial 16S ribosomal RNA
Rfam family: Bacterial small subunit ribosomal RNA
Source: RNAcentral